ACUCAAAGGAAUAGACGGGGGCCCGCACAAGCGGAGGAACAUGUGGUUUAAUUCGAUGAUACGCGAGGAACCUUACCCGGGCUUGAAAUGCAGAGGAAUAACGUGGAAACAUGUUAGUCAGCAAUGAUCUCUGUGUAGGUGCUGCAUGGUUGUCGUCAGCUCGUGCCGUGAGGUGUCGGCUUAAGUGCCAUAACGAGCGCAACCCUUAUCGAUAGUUACUAACAGGUUAAGCUGAGGACUCUAUUGAGACUGCCACCGUAAGGUGUGAGGAAGGUGGGGAUGACGUCAAAUCAGCACGGCCCUUACGUCCGGGGCGACACACGUGUUACAAUGGGGGGUACAGAGGGUUGCUACCUAGUGAUAGGAUGCUAAUCUCAUAAAGCCUCUCUCAGUUCGGAUUGGAGUCUGCAACUCGACUCCAUGAAGCUGGAUUCGCUAGUAAUCGCGCAUCAGCCAUGGCGCGGUGAAUACGUUCCCGGGCCUUGUACACACCGCCCGU
Molecule: ribosomal RNA, 499 nt
Filed under: uncultured bacterium
Lineage: Bacteria
Description: bacterial SSU rRNA
Rfam family: Bacterial small subunit ribosomal RNA
Source: RNAcentral